AUGUACUUGAGGGAUGCUGUAGAAAAGGCUUGGAGGAUCCAUGCUGCUGACUGUGAGGAUUCUAAAGUGUGGCCUCUUAUUUUUCAGCAUCCUCUAUGCAAACGCCCAAGGGAAGGGCUUAGCUUAAAUGUGGGUGCUGAGACAAAGUUUCUUCUCUUCCAGGGCUGGAUCCCAAACAGCACAGCAGGUGGACGCUGGGGACAAGACAUGGCAGAGGAGCAAGGCAGUUUCACCUUUACUACUAAUGAUCAUUGCUGUGAGGCAUUUAAAUUGCCUUCAUCACAGUGAAACCUCUCGGUGUUAGAGAAGGAUUUCUAAUGAAUUCUACAGAUCUGGAACCUGGAAGAUUUGGUGGAUACUUAAUUCUCAGCUUCCUUUCUACUUAGCAUUCUUUUUUUUUUUUCAUUUAAUUGUCAAUACUUUAAAUGCUCUCCACAUCAGAGUUUU
Molecule: long non-coding RNA, 447 nt
Filed under: Mus spicilegus (steppe mouse)
Lineage: Eukaryota; Metazoa; Chordata; Mammalia; Rodentia; Muridae
Description: lncRNA (ENSMSIG00000008426.1)
Source: RNAcentral